GAUUUGGGAGAUUUCCUAUACUAACAUCACAUGACCUAAUGGUAAUAAAAAUGCAGGCAUGUGGUAUAGAGGCUCAAUGCAUUGAGUGGAAAAUCAGGACACUAGUAAAGACAAUAGUCCCUGUAGGGUCACUCUCUGGCAGUGUUGGGUGUAAUGCGUUACAAAAGUAACGGAGUUACAGUAAUGUAUUACUUUUUGCUUUAACGAAGUAAUGUAACGCAUUACUAAUUACAUUUGAGUAAUAUACUACCCGUUACAAUUCUCAGUAGCGCAGUUACAACUCAUUUUAACCCGAAAUGAAAUGGUGUUUUGUUUUUUUAGAAUUCACUAACAUCGUUAACAUAAAAAAUUGUGCCGGUAGAUUAGUAAACCUGGUGUUUAAUUUAUUACUUACAAUAUGUAAUGUAUUACAUUUUGGAAGUAACUUGCCCAACACUGCUCUCUGGACUAUUUGAGGACGCCAUCUUUCUACUACAGCCAGUUUGCACACUGGACAGCAAGCUGUUAGCAUAGAAGCUCCGAAGCCUGAAUACCUCUCACGCUCCAGGGGCCCACUUUGAGACAUUUAAAAUGCCACAAAACAUUACUUCGAAAGACAACCAUGCAAAUUCUGAACUCGGUCUUGAAGAAUGGCCGUGUUCCAAGGCUGGAAUAGACAGCGCUUUGGGCCUCGCUACUUCGCAGUGGAAUCCAGGACCUUUGGGCAGAGCCAUCUCCAGUGGGUCACGGUUAGACAUCCAGGCUUCACAGAUUGAACGCGCAGAGCUGGUCCCAAAGACUGAGAUUAAACUGUAUCACCGUCGCUGGAUCAUGCUUUUUCUCUUCAGUGGCGUCUCAGCCAGCAAUGCCUUCAUGUGGCUUCAGUACGGCAUUAUAAGCAACAUUUUCAUGCGUUUCUACAACAUUGACUCUUUUGCCAUUGACUGGUUGGGCAUGAUCUACCUGCUCACUUACAUUCCUCUCAUUCUGCCCGUCCUGUGGCUCCUGAAAAACAGGGGAAUCCGGGAUGUCAUCCUGAUUGGGUCAGCUUUUAACUGCAUUGGUGCUUGGAUAAAAAUUGGUAGUGCCAGUCCCAAUAUGUUCCUACUCACAUUUCUAGGCCAGUUUAUGUGCUCGGUAGGCACUGUGUUCAUCAUUGGUAUUCCCUCUUACCUCGCCUCAGUGUGGUUCGGAGAGAAAGAGGUUUCCAUUGCUUGUUCCAUAGGAGUCGUGGGAUACCAGCUGGGUAUUGCCAUCGGGUUCCUUGUGCCUCCCAUCCUGGUGCCGAAUGUGGACGACAUGGACGAGCUGGCUCACCACAUCAGCAUUAUGUUCUACAUCACAGCAGCAGUGGCCACCUUACUCUUCAUCCUCGUGGUCUGUGUCUUCCAGGAGGGACCUACACUUCCUCCGACUCAGGCCCAGGCCACAGCUCGCAGCAUUCCCCCUGAGCAGUACUCGUACACAGCCUCGGUCCUCAGGCUGCUCCGCAACCGGCCCUUCAUCCUCCUCAUCAUCACUUAUGGUUUGAAUGUGGGAUGUUUCUAUGCUGUCGGCACCCUGCUGAACCGCAUUAUCAUCGAGCAUUACCCUGGAGAAGAGGUGAAUGCUGGGAGAAUUGGCCUCACCAUUAUCAUUGCAGGGAUGGUUGGCUCCCUGAUUUGUGGCAUUUGGUUGGACAAAACCAAAACCUACAAACAGACAACCCUUGCUGUGUACUUCAUGUCUCUGGUGGGGAUGAUCGUCUUUGCUGCCACACUCAGUCUGGGACACCUCUGGGUGGUCUUCAUCACUGCUGGAGCGCUCGGGUUCUUCAUGACAGGCUACCUGCCGCUGGGCUUUGAGUUUGCGGUCGAGCUGACGUACCCAGAGUCUGAAGGAACCUCAUCCGGACUGCUCAACUGUUCAGCACAGGUGUUCGGCAUUAUCUUCACCAUCAGCCAGGGGAAGAUCAUCGACAGAUUCGGCACUCUGGCAGGAAACAUCUUCCUCUGUGUUUUUCUUCUAAUCGGCACAGUAAUGACGGGCCUAAUCAAGUCUGAUCUGCGGAGACAAAAGGCAAACAUGUUGGCCAAAGCAGCAGCGGCGAAGCAGAUGUCAGGACAAGACUACGGAACCACAACGCUAAUCUCCAAUCCACAGACCCCCCCUUCACAAGCCUGAUCAAUGUACCUUUCUGCUUCCACAAAAAUAUCUUCUCAAAUCUUAGCUCAACAUGCAGAUGCACUAAGGGACCUUCCGACUAUCCCAAUGGGAGCGUGGCUGCAUCGCCUAUCAUCGAAGAAGCCAAGCUUUAGAGGCCACGCACACACACACACACACACCAACACGUUCUCACUCCCAUCCCGUCACAUAUUGACGGACGGUCAGGGCCCCUUCCCGUCGCUAUAUUACGUAUAGGGUACCCCUUGCCCGUCAGGCUUCUAUGGGCAGGACGUCCCAUAGACCUUCAUUGCGGACAGCGGACCCCUUGACUGUCAGGCUUCUACGGGCAGGGCGUCCCAUAGACCUUCAUAGACCACGUGAUCAACAACAAUGGCCGACCUUCGUGUUAUUCUCGGUGGAAAAUGCCUAUUUUAAGGUUCAUUUGGCCAAUAAAAUGCGUUUUGAUGUCAUUUUAUGCGAUUAAUAUGAGUUGUUAUUUCUGAUUAUUUGUGCAGUACAUGU
RNA transcript from Gymnodraco acuticeps, 2646 nucleotides. It is a transcript of the gene named feline leukemia virus subgroup C receptor-related protein 2-like, with no coding region annotated. The record is from RefSeq and is a predicted model, not a curated record. NCBI's taxonomy places the organism in Eukaryota, Metazoa, Chordata, Actinopteri, Perciformes, Bathydraconidae. The transcript has 11 exons.